UACGAAGGGGGCUAGCGGUGCUCGGAAUCACUGGGCGUAAAGCGCACGUAGGCGGCUUCUUAAGUCAGGGGUGAAAUCCUGGAGCUCAACUCCAGAACUGCCUUUGAUACUGAGGAGCUUGAGUCCGGGAGAGGUGAGUGGAACUGCGAGUGUAGAGGUGAAAUUCGUAGAUAUUCGCAAGAACACCAGUGGCGAAGGCGGCUCACUGGCCCGGUACUGACGCUGAGGUGCGAAAGCGUGGGGAGCAAACAGG
This 253-nucleotide ribosomal RNA is filed under the name uncultured bacterium. RNAcentral describes it as "partial 16S ribosomal RNA". It matches the Rfam family "Bacterial small subunit ribosomal RNA", at positions 524 to 776 of the family's 1533-position model. The record is from RNAcentral.